Non-coding RNA from Pelobates cultripes (western spadefoot toad), 730 nucleotides. Lineage: Eukaryota; Metazoa; Chordata; Amphibia; Anura; Pelobatidae. The record is from the annotation of a GenBank genome assembly.
CGAAAAUGUAAAUUCAAAGGUGACAGGUAGCACAAACUAUGUACAUGAACAAUUAAAUAAAUUAAAAACGCUCAGGAUUUGUUAGGUACAUUUCAAUAUAAAAACAAACUUAUUUAAAAAAACAAGCAUAAAAAAAACCCAAGUUAAAGUCUAUAUGUUGGCCGCCUUAAACUGGACAAAUAAGAUCUCCGUAAAAUGAUCCAUGGAAGAGUAUCAAUAGCUAAGUUAUAUACUGUAUCAUAAAAUAACAAUAAUGUGAAGUUACAAAACAGUAACAGUUACAAAACCUAUUAAGAUGUUAGACAACCAUGGUUCAGUAUCCUCCCCAUCCCGUUUGUCCACUGAGGGGAGGAUACUGAACCAUGGCUGUCCAGUGGGACAACCUGUUUGUAUGUAUGCUUGAAUGUAUCAGUGCGCUGCCUUGGUAAUGCGCAGCGCUGCUCUGAUACGAAAGAAGGAUGGACGUUCUCCCUCCCCCACCUCAGCAUUCAGGAGGCCAGGCCGGAGAAUAUUUAAUCUCCCCACUAGCCGUGUUAAUGGAGGGAACAUGGGGGAGCAAGGCCCAAUCUAUGGGGCAAUUGCCCGCCCUUAUCCCCUGUCUAAAUGAUUCUGUUCUGAAAAGCCAGAAACACAUAAGGUAUUUUUGUUAAUUUUGCUGUACCUUUCAUUAUAUCUGUAUUUUAAAGAACAGAAUAAUAUGUGGACGUCGUGAUAAUGAUAUUAAAGUGGU